AUACGUAGGUGGCGAGCGUUGUCCGGAUUUACUGGGCGUAAAGGGAGCGUAGGCGGAUUUUUAAGUGAGAUGUGAAAUACUCGGGCUUAACCUGAGUGCUGCAUUUCAAACUGGAAGUCUAGAGUGCAGGAGAGGAGAAGGGAAUUCCUAGUGUAGCGGUGAAAUGCGUAGAGAUUAGGAAGAACACCAGUGGCGAAGGCAGCUUGCGAAGAUAUUAUUGACGCUGAGGCACGAAAGCGUGGGUAGC
RNAcentral lists this ribosomal RNA (247 nucleotides) under uncultured bacterium. Its description in RNAcentral is "partial 16S ribosomal RNA". It matches the Rfam family "Bacterial small subunit ribosomal RNA", at positions 523 to 769 of the family's 1533-position model. The record is from RNAcentral.